Callithrix jacchus (white-tufted-ear marmoset) is the source of this 97-nucleotide Y RNA. It matches the Rfam family "Y RNA". Rfam says of the family: Y RNAs are components of the Ro ribonucleoprotein particle (Ro RNP), in association with Ro60 and La proteins. The Y RNAs and Ro60 and La proteins are well conserved, but the function of the Ro RNP is not known. The record is from Ensembl. Lineage: Eukaryota; Metazoa; Chordata; Mammalia; Primates; Cebidae.
GGCUGGUUCAGUGCAGUAGUGUUUACACACACUCACAGCCAGUUACUGAUUUCUUUGUCCCUUCUCCACUCCCACUGCUUCACCUGACUAGCCUCAA